ACCUACGGAGGCAGCAGUAGGGAAUCUUCCACAAUGGGCGAAAGCCUGAUGGAGCAACGCCGCGUGGGUGAGGAAGGUCUUCGGAUCGUAAAACCCUGUUGUUAGAGAAGAAAGUGCGUGAGAGUAACUGUUCACGUUUCGACGGUAUCUAACCAGAAAGCCACGGCUAACUACGUGCCAGCAGCCGCGGUAAUACGUAGGUGGCAAGCGUUAUCCGGAUUUAUUGGGCGUAAAGGGAACGCAGGCGGUCUUUUAAGUCUGAUGUGAAAGCCUUCGGCUUAACCGGAGUAGUGCAUUGGAAACUG
RNAcentral lists this ribosomal RNA (305 nucleotides) under uncultured bacterium. RNAcentral's name for it is "bacterial SSU rRNA". It matches the Rfam family "Bacterial small subunit ribosomal RNA", at positions 337 to 635 of the family's 1533-position model. The record is from RNAcentral.